CGGAGGGUGCGAGCGUUAAUCGGAAUUACUGGGCGUAAAGCGUGCGUAGACGGUUAUUUAAGUCGGGUGUGAAAGCCCCGGGCUCAACCUGGGAAUUGCAUUCGAGACUGAAUAGCUAGGGUACGGUAGAGGGAAGUGGAAUUUCCGGUGUAGCGGUGAAAUGCGUAGAUAUCGGAAGGAACAUCAGUGGCGAAAGCGACUUCCUGGACCAGUACCGACGUUCAGGCACGAAAGCGUGGGGAGCAAACAGGAUUAGAUACCCUGGUAGUCCACGCCAUAAACGAUGAGGACUAGACGUUGGAGGGGUAAGCCUUUCAGUGUCGUAGCUAACGCGCUAAGUCCUCCGCCUGGGGAGUACGGCCGCAAGGUUG
Molecule: ribosomal RNA, 371 nt
Filed under: uncultured organism
Description: bacterial SSU rRNA
Rfam family: Bacterial small subunit ribosomal RNA
Source: RNAcentral